Molecule: long non-coding RNA, 791 nt
Filed under: Homo sapiens (human)
Lineage: Eukaryota; Metazoa; Chordata; Mammalia; Primates; Hominidae
Description: non-protein coding lnc-SGK2-1:1
Source: RNAcentral
CUGAAACACAUCCAUAUGCACACCACACACACUGAGAUACAGUGACACACACAGUCACAGAUGCACAGACAUAUGCUGAUGUAAAUGUACAAAUGUGGUCACACUGACACAUACAUGCAAUCAUCUACGCAGACUCAUAGAAACCGACACAAAUACCUGAAAUACACAGCCUGGGCGACAGAGUGUGACUGUCUUAUUAAUAAAUAAAUAAAUACGAAAAGUGGUUUGUUUUUUUACAAAUGUGUGGUUCAUACUCCUGGGUGGCCUUAUUAGCUUUUUUGGUUGGGAGACAAGGGAAGGAACUUUCUUGGAUCAGUGUGUGCUGGUGAUUUUAUUGCCUUUUCCUCUUAAUUCAAUCCCACUCUUUCCCUUCCUCAAGUCUUGUUCACCCAGCCUCCUGCCCCAGGAAUCACGGGGAAGAAGUCUGGGAGACCACAGAAAAAACACCAAUGACACUGAGCUAUUAGAGAUCAAAACUGGGUCAGGAAGAGUUCAUGUUAAGCUUUCACAUGUGCUAAGAACGCUGAAAGAUACACACUGAUUUCCAUCUUAAUAGUGCCAGAUAAUUGACAAAUUUGGGACAAGAUGAGGGAGAGGUCAAAAUCCCCCUAACUUCCCAAAGCAAAAAAACAGGAGUAUAAUGAUCAGAAACGUAAUAGUAGUGUCAGAAGCACACAAUCAGCUGUGGACGGUGAAACAUAUAAUGGUUCUAUCUGUUCUGAGAUUGUAAAAGCACAAUUAUUUUCAUCAGGAUAAAAAAUAAAAAUGAAAAACUAUGCUGUUGAAUGGAA